UACGUAGGGGGCAAGCGUUAUCCGGAUUUACUGGGUGUAAAGGGAGCGCAGGCGGUCUGGCAAGUCUGAUGUGAAAGGCCGGGGCUCAACCCCGGGACUGCAUUGGAAACUGUAAAGCUAGAGUGCCGGAGAGGUAAGCGGAAUUCCUAGUGUAGCGGUGAAAUGCGUAGAUAUUAGGAGGAACACCAGUGGCGAAGGCGGCUUACUGGACGGCAACUGACGCUGAGGCUCGAAAGCGUGGGGAGCAAACAGG
This 253-nucleotide ribosomal RNA is filed under the name uncultured bacterium. RNAcentral's name for it is "partial 16S ribosomal RNA". It matches the Rfam family "Bacterial small subunit ribosomal RNA", at positions 524 to 776 of the family's 1533-position model. The record is from RNAcentral.